Molecule: ribosomal RNA, 482 nt
Filed under: uncultured bacterium
Lineage: Bacteria
Description: partial 16S ribosomal RNA
Rfam family: Bacterial small subunit ribosomal RNA
Source: RNAcentral
AUUGAACGCUGGCGGCAUGCCUUACACAUGCAAGUCGAACGGUAACAGGUCUUCGGAUGCUGACGAGUGGCGAACGGGUGAGUAAUACAUCGGAACGUGCCCGAUCGUGGGGGAUAACGAAGCGAAAGCUUUGCUAAUACCGCAUACGAUCUACGGAUGAAAGCAGGGGACCGCAAGGCCUUGCGCGAACGGAGCGGCCGAUGGCAGAUUAGGUAGUUGGUGGGAUAAAAGCUUACCAAGCCGACGAUCUGUAGCUGGUCUGAGAGGACGACCAGCCACACUGGGACUGAGACACGGCCCAGACUCCUACGGGAGGCAGCAGUGGGGAAUUUUGGACAAUGGGCGAAAGCCUGAUCCAGCCAUGCCGCGUGCAGGAUGAAGGCCUUCGGGUUGUAAAAUGCUUUUGUACGGAACGAAAAGACUCUGGUUAAUACCUGGGGUCCAUGACGGUACCGUAAGAAUAAGCACCGGCUAACUACGUG